RNAcentral lists this ribosomal RNA (207 nucleotides) under uncultured bacterium. RNAcentral's name for it is "partial 16S ribosomal RNA". It matches the Rfam family "Bacterial small subunit ribosomal RNA", at positions 568 to 774 of the family's 1533-position model. The record is from RNAcentral.
CAUGUAGGCGGUUAUUUAAGUGAUGUGUGAAAUACCUGGGCUUAACCUGGGGGUUGCAAGUCAUACUGGAUAACUUGAGUCUAGGAGAGGGAAGUAGAAUUUCCGAUGUAGCGGUGAAAUGCGUAGAGAUCGGAAAGAAUACCGGUGGCGAAGGCGGCUUCCUGGCUUAAGACUGACGCUGAGGUGCGAAAGCGUGGGUAGCGAACA